AAUACCGCAUAAUGCAUAGGUAUCGCAUGGUACAGAUGCCAAAGAUUUAUCGCUGAGAGAUGGCCUCGCGUCUGAUUAGCUAGUUGGUAGGGUAACGGCCUACCAAGGCGACGAUCAGUAGCCGGACUGAGAGGUUGGCCGGCCACAUUGGGACUGAGAUACGGCCCAGACUCCUACGGGAGGCAGCAGUGGGGAAUAUUGGGCAAUGGGCGCAAGCCUGACCCAGCAACGCCGCGUGAAGGAAGAAGGCUUUCGGGUUGUAAACUUCUUUUAACCGGGAAGAGCAGAAGACGGUACCUGUUGAAUAAGCCACGGCUAACUACGUGCCAGCAGCCGCGGUAAUACGUAGGUGGCAAGCGUUGUCCGGAUUUACUGGGUGUAAAGGGCGUGCAGCCGGGUUUAUAAGUCAGAUGUGAAAUCCCGCGGCUCAACCGCGGAACUGCAUUUGAAACUGUAGAUCUUGAGUACUGGAGAGGCAGGCGGAAUUCCUAGUGUGGCGGUGAAAUGCGUAGAUAUUAGGAGGAACACCAGUGGCGAAGGCGGCCUGCUGGACAGCAACUGACGGUGAGGCGCGAAAGCGUGGGGAGCAAACGGGAUUAGAUACCCUGGUAGUCCACGCUGUAAACGAUGGAUACUAGGUGUACGGGGACUGACCCCCUGUGUGCCGCAGC
RNAcentral lists this ribosomal RNA (671 nucleotides) under uncultured bacterium. RNAcentral's name for it is "bacterial SSU rRNA". It matches the Rfam family "Bacterial small subunit ribosomal RNA", at positions 165 to 852 of the family's 1533-position model. The record is from RNAcentral.